AUCUUUCUAGUAUAAAGCUAGUAUUAGUGCCUUCCAAGCACCCCGUCUUGGUUAAAAUCCAAGGAAAGAUA
This 71-nucleotide transfer RNA is filed under the name Labrus bergylta (ballan wrasse). RNAcentral's name for it is "tRNA-Gly". Lineage: Eukaryota; Metazoa; Chordata; Actinopteri; Labriformes; Labridae. RNAcentral also lists the same sequence under 1 other name. The record is from RNAcentral.